RNAcentral lists this ribosomal RNA (460 nucleotides) under uncultured bacterium. Its description in RNAcentral is "partial 16S ribosomal RNA". It matches the Rfam family "Bacterial small subunit ribosomal RNA", at positions 338 to 795 of the family's 1533-position model. The record is from RNAcentral.
CCUACGGGAGGCAGCAGUGAGGAAUAUUGGUCAAUGGGCGUAAGCCUGAACCAGCCAAGUCGCGUGAGGGAUGAAGGUUCUAUGGUUUGUAAACUUCUUUUAUAGGGGAAUAAAGGUAUCCACGUGUGGAUAUUUGCAUGUACCCUAUGAAUAAGCAUCGGCUAACUCCGUGCCAGCAGCCGCGGUAAUACGGAGGAUGCGAGCGUUAUCCGGAUUUAUUGGGUUUAAAGGGUGCGUAGGUUGUUUUUUAAGUCAGCGGUGAAAGUUUGUGGCUCAACCAUAAAAUUGCCGUUGAAACUGGAAGACUUGAGUGUGUUUGAGGUAGGCGGAAUGCGUGGUGUAGCGGUGAAAUGCACAGAUAUCACGCAGAACUCCGAUUGCGAAGGCAGCUUACUAAGCCAUAACUGACACUGAAGCACGAAAGCGUGGGGAUCAAACAGGAUUAGAUACCCGAGUAGUC